UGCCAGACUCCUACGGGAGGCAGCAGUGGGGAAUAUUGGGCAAUGGACGCAAGUCUGACCCAGCAACGCCGCGUGAAGGAAGAAGGCUUUCGGGUUGUAAACUUCUUUUAAGAGGGAAGAGCAGAAGACGGUACCUCUUGAAUAAGCCACGGCUAACUACGUGCCAGCAGCCGCGGUAAUACGUAGGGGGCAAGCGUUAUCCGGAUUUACUGGGUGUAAAGGGAGCGUAGACGGCAAGGCAAGUCUGGAGUGAAAGCCCGUGGCCCAACCACGGGACUGCUUUGGAAACUGUGUUGCUGGAGUGCAGGAGGGGUAAGCGGAAUUCCUAGUGUAGCGGUGAAAUGCGUAGAUAUUAGGAGGAACACCAGUGGCGAAGGCGGUCUGCUGGACAGCAACUGACGCUGAGGCGCGAAAGCGUGGGGAGCAAACAGGAUUAGAUACCCUGGUA
This 448-nucleotide ribosomal RNA is filed under the name uncultured bacterium. Its description in RNAcentral is "bacterial SSU rRNA". It matches the Rfam family "Bacterial small subunit ribosomal RNA", at positions 329 to 792 of the family's 1533-position model. The record is from RNAcentral.